Ornithodoros turicata is the source of this 2591-nucleotide long non-coding RNA. RefSeq lists it as uncharacterized. The transcript has 2 exons. The record is from RefSeq and is a predicted model, not a curated record. Lineage: Eukaryota; Metazoa; Arthropoda; Arachnida; Ixodida; Argasidae.
AUGCCGUUCCAUUAAUCAGAUUUGUACAAUUGAAGAUAUGAAAUGAAUCUGCGGCAGAGUUUGAGGUCCCAAAUGAACAAUUCAAGAUGACUCGAAGACACACGGGCGACUAAAGCAAGUUACCGUGUACUUACGAACAAAACGCGUUCCCGUGACAGAGCUGAUUUCAGUUCAACGAGAGCGACAGCCGGGACAGGAACACAUUACCAUACGUCGUUCCUACGACGGUGCUCACAUUUUCACAAUAAAUUACUUCCAAGAAGCAAAAUCAUACGGACAGCAGCGCGAGAAACAAAGCCUUGCAAAACCGAAACUUUAGAGGGGAUCACGUGGUGGACAGGAAGCAAUGGCGAUUUUGACCCGAGCGACCGCUAGAGGGUGGCUACGCUAGUCUGGAGGGAAGAGCCGCUCCUUGUGUUUCCUUCCUCCAUGGACUAUUCUAUGAAAAAAUGCCUUAUCUAGGUGUUGUUGUCUACACCGGUUGCACCCUACGCAUCGAAAUCCGAAUCCAUUCCAAUCGGCUAGCCAACAAUAUCCGUGCUCUAAAGGUGGCUGUCUGUGUUGCAGGUGUUGGCUGUGUUUCUGUCAGAUAUGCGUUCUCACUGUUUUAGAUGGUUACGUGCGAACAGACAAGGUGUUUAACAGAUCAACCAAAUCACAGAACAUUACUGCUUCGUAGAGUUGCCAUGGCGUGGCAGAAUAUCCUCACCGUGUUAUGUGACGACGCUCGCAGUCGGUAUUAGCCAUGAAAUGUGCGAUGUGCCGAUUUUACUUCAUAACGCGCAUGUCAUGCAUGAAUAAAGCAGCUCCAACAAACUGCACCGUUGGCAGCAGCACUCACGCAAAGAACUCUGCCCAAUGCCACGACGAACCACGCAAAAGUGCAUUGCGACCCAAACAUGCACAUGCAGCGGAAAUGGCGGACCCCUUCAUGCUUCUUCUUGUGCCUCCUUCACAUGUUGGCCGUUUUAUUCAAUGUGCAAGCCUCACAUGCAUGACAGGGCGGAUACUCCUGCAGAGACAGUGGUACAGUUCCACUGGUGCUGGAACAGUACACAAUGAGCAUUGUGCAUAAUGGUUUGUUUUUGUUCUUUGAGUUCCUUAUCUGGACAUAGUGCUGUGUCGGGAUGCGCAUGUGUCUUUGAGGAACAUCACUCUGACGUUCCAGUGAUUGUGUAGUUCAUUUUGUGUUAUCUUUUUUCUUCCCCAUGCUCAGGGACGUGUUGCAUGUGUCGAGCAUACACCAACUCGCUUGCAUUUCACUUUCAUCACAUGUUUUGAUUUGCAUCAUCAUCGCUAUCCAAGCUGAGAGGCAUGAGCAUAGAUCAAGACCCGUCAAAAAGAACUCGUUGCGAGUUAAGUUACCAUGUGUAAAUGUAAGUUAAUAACAAAGUUCUUCAGCCUGAAAUGUAACUCGCGGUUACUGAUUUACUUAAAAAAAGAACGAGUUACUUCCGAAUUACUUUGGACACAAAACCGCAGUGCACAGGUGCAGCGCGCAUGAGCAGUUGAGUUAGACCAUGAGCUGCCUGUGGAGGAGUGCAACACGCUUAGAUCGUCUUCAUGUAUGUACAGCAAUUCGAACACUUUGCAUCUUACUCCCUGUGGGUGCACAAUGGUUCAGCUUCAUUUCAAUGGCAGCGUUUCUUACUUCCUGAAUAGAAUACUCUCAUUGAUUGACGUUUCAUUCAUUCAUUCGCGUUUUAUGGCAUAAAAUGCCACGAAAGAACCGGAGAGGAAGCAAGAAAAUAUGUGGACGUGAGUGAAAAGCGAAUUAAAAGUAACUUGGAACUUAGCUUAAGUUACUUUAGCAAAGUCAUCCGGAAAAGAAACAAGCUCCUCAGAAAGUUACCACAGCACAAAAGUACCGAGUUGAGUUACAAGUUACCAAAAAAUAUGAACCUAGUUAGGAAUCGAGUUACCUCGAACUCUGGACAUGAGGGCGUGCUUCUAAAGGUAUGGUCUAGGUCUGUUGUUGGGAGUCAUUGUAAUUUGCUACCCUUGAGGAGCAUUAGGCUGUUCCACAACAAAACGUUCACGUCCGCUCUGCUCAGACUCCUCGGAAGCGGCCACGCUAGUGUGGCCUUGCAGCUUCCCCAUUUUGCGCCUCUAAAUUGAGUGGAAAAUUUUCCUGGACACGAUGGAACUGAAACUUAACGUGGGAGGCAUUCAUUCCACAUCAUAAAUUAGUAUCCAUGCACGCCUGAGGCCCUUCAACGGCGGAUCGCGAAGCUGCGCCAAAACUUGAUUUUCCUAGCGCCAACGGCUACGCCCGAACGCCUCAAGGCGCUUCCUUCACUUCCAAUCCAAAGAAUGUUCAUCAGGGUAAAAUUGUCAGUAAGAGUUUAUAGGUGCAGAAUUAUAUUUUACGCAAAUGCUGGUGGACAUCUUAUUAUGCCCUCCAUAUGCUCCUGAGUUUGGUUUGUCCUGACGAUUCGCCAGCUGGACAUUUUUCUAUGGAAACUGCAGUUAUUGGAUAAAUGAGAGUAGAACUGUACUUGCAGGAACUACCUACCAGUGGAGUAAUUUAGAAGUACAAAUUGACACCUCGUGGGAAACAGAUUAAAAAAAAAAGUACUUUGUACAUUCUG